This 119-nucleotide ribosomal RNA is filed under the name Anolis carolinensis (green anole). The record is from RNAcentral. Lineage: Eukaryota; Metazoa; Chordata; Lepidosauria; Squamata; Anolidae.
CCAAAUGGCCUAACCACCCUAUAAGUUCCAGAUCCCAUUUGAUCAUGGAAACUAAACAGAGUCCGCUCUGGUUUGCACUAGGAUGGAAGACUUCCUGGAAAUACCAGGUGCUGUAGGCU